This 512-nucleotide ribosomal RNA is filed under the name uncultured bacterium. Its description in RNAcentral is "bacterial SSU rRNA". It matches the Rfam family "Bacterial small subunit ribosomal RNA", at positions 28 to 524 of the family's 1533-position model. The record is from RNAcentral.
GACGAACGCUGGCGGCGUGCCUAAUACAUGCAAGUCGAGCGGACCAAAGGGAGCUUGCUCCUGGAGGUUAGCGGCGAACGGGUGAGUAACACGUGGGCAACCUGCCUGUAAGACUGGGAUAACAUCGAGAAAUCGGUGCUAAUACCGGAUAAUAAAAAGAACUGCAUGGUUCUUUUUUGAAAGAUGGUUUCGGCUAUCACUUACAGAUGGGCCCGCGGCGCAUUAGCUAGUUGGUGAGGUAACGGCUCACCAAGGCAACGAUGCGUAGCCGACCUGAGAGGGUGAUCGGCCACACUGGGACUGAGACACGGCCCAGACUCCUACGGGAGGCAGCAGUAGGGAAUCUUCCGCAAUGGACGAAAGUCUGACGGAGCAACGCCGCGUGAGUGAUGAAGGUUUUCGGAUCGUAAAACUCUGUUGUUAGGGAAGAACAAGUGCCGUUCGAAAGGCGGCACCUUGACGGUACCUAACGNGAAAGCCACGGCUAACUACGUGCCAGCAGCCGCGGUAAA